AGUUAAAGGAAAUUCUGGGUUUUUCUCCACUACAUGCUUAUUGCUUCAAGAGAAGUUUUGAAUGGAUUCUCUCUUCAGUCCCUCUCAAUGUUCACAGAGUGCUUCUGGAGCUCCCAAGAAAUUACCGUCUGCCAUGAGACCAAGACAAAGAAGAGUUCCUUCCUGGGCGAGCAAAUACAAAGGAACUGAAAAGAAGUUUCCACAACUUGACAGGAUAAAAUACUUUAAACACGGCAGCGAGGUCCCCUAUGAAGUGUGUGUGGAGCUAGAGGCUGACAUUUUUGCAGACCCACCAAACACCUCCAGGGAAAAUGUCCAGAACACUGAAGUGCAGGAGUUCAAAUUCAAGGUCGAGAUGGAGAAGGAGAUGCCACUACCCAGGGCUGAAGACUUCCAGAGAAGUGAUUCAAGAUAUCCAAUCCACCAAGAAGAGGAAGCUGGAGGAGAAGAUUACACUCUGCCCAACCUGGUCACCAAGAACUUCUGUGAUCCUCAGGAUUUCUCUGAAGAAAAGAGCUCCCAGUCCAAGAAGCGGCUUCUACUAGAUUCCUCAGGGAUCUCAGGCAGGACCAAGAGACCUUGUCCACAGGGCAGUCUUGGCCCCACUUUGUGCUACCACCAGAAGUGCUGUGAACUGGUCUUGCUGCAUGAGGAAGUCAAGGAAUUGCACACUAGAAUAGAUGCUAUGACCAUUGCCAUGAAUGCUUUGCAACAGUACAUCCAAGCCAUGCAUCAGCUCCUGGAAAUCCAGGUAAAGAGAUGUAGUAGUUCGAAGGAAAAUUGCAAUCAGAGCAAAGCCACCAGGGACCAACCAGUCCUCUCCUUCCCAUUUCCAGCACACAGCACCCCCUUUAAAAGCACUCUAUGCUCCACUUCCUCAGCCAGACCCUGUCAAGAAAGAGCCCACAGACCCUGUCACAAUUCUGCCUCGUAAAAUGGCUGAAGCAACUGGGAAGCGGUGUGCACCCUACCCCGAUUCCCAGAGAUUCACGCUAUGUCCUCAAAUGACACUACACCUGCAUGGACAAGAAGUGGCCACUCUGAGGGAAACACUUCAUUCUCAGAGACCGAUGAUGAAGAUUGUUAACUUAUUACUGACCCAGUGGUGACAGACUAGCCAUGCACCAGGAGACACACCCCCUUUUGUAAUUUGUAAUUUCUUAUCAGUAACUCUCCAUAUCUGUUAGAAAGGUUGUCUUUGGUUUUAUUUUCUUCUAGUGAGAUUAGUAGUGUGGGGAGGAGAGAAUUUGGACAUUUCACUUUGAGAAGCAAAAUGUAAAGAACUUAAUAAAUAUCAGCUUCUUUGCUUGUAACA
Molecule: long non-coding RNA, 1315 nt
Filed under: Monodelphis domestica (gray short-tailed opossum)
Lineage: Eukaryota; Metazoa; Chordata; Mammalia; Didelphimorphia; Didelphidae
Description: lncRNA (ENSMODG00000033245.2)
Source: RNAcentral